UUGAUACUGUAGAGCUAGGAUUAGGUUGCUGUGGGCGGAAUGUGUGGUGUAGCGGUGAAAUGCUUAGAGAUCACACAGAAUAUCGAUUGCGAAGGCAGCUCACAAAGCCUAAAUUGACGCUGAGGCACGAAAGUGUGGGGAUCGAACAGGAUUAGAUACCCUGGUAGUCCACACUGUAAACGAUGAUAACUCGCUGUCGGCGAUAUACAGUCGGUGGCCAAGCGAAAGCGAUAAGUGAGCCAGCUGGGGAGUACGAUCGCAAGGUUGAAACUCAAAGGAAUUGACGGGGGCCCGCACAAGCGGAGGAGCAUGUGGUUUAAUUCGAUGAUACGCGAGGAACCUUACCCGGGGCUUGAAGGUAAGACGAAUAUAUGGGAAACCAUAUAGCCUACGGGCGUCUUGCUAGGGUGCUGCAUGGGUUGUCCGUAGUUUCGGGCCGUGAGGUGUUAGGUUUAGGUCCCUGCAACCAAGCGCAAC
This 477-nucleotide ribosomal RNA is filed under the name uncultured bacterium. Its description in RNAcentral is "bacterial SSU rRNA". It matches the Rfam family "Bacterial small subunit ribosomal RNA", at positions 627 to 1102 of the family's 1533-position model. The record is from RNAcentral.